GAUGAACGCUAGCGAUAGGCUUAACACAUGCAAGUCGAGGGGCAGCACAAGGUAGCUUGCUAUCUGGGUGGCGACCGGCGCACGGGUGCGUAACGCGUAUGCAACUUGCCCUAUACAGGAGGAUAACCCGUCGAAAGACGGACUAAUACUGCGUAUGCUCACAACUUGGCAUCAAGUGGUGAGGAAAGAAAUUCGGUAUAGGAUAGGCAUGCGUCCCAUUAGCUUGUUGGUGAGGUAACGGCUCACCAAGGCAACGAUGGGUAGGGGAACUGAGAGGUUUAUCCCCCACACUGGUACUGAGACACGGACCAGACUCCUACGGGAGGCAGCAGUGAGGAAUAUUGGUCAAGGGGCGCGAGCCUGAACCAGCCAAGUCGCGUGAAGGAUGACUGUCUUAUGGAUUGUAAACUUCUUUUAUACGGGAAUAACAAGAGUCACGUGUGACUCCCUGCAUGUACCGUAUGAAUAAGCAUCGGCUAACUCCGUG
Molecule: ribosomal RNA, 487 nt
Filed under: uncultured bacterium
Lineage: Bacteria
Description: partial 16S ribosomal RNA
Rfam family: Bacterial small subunit ribosomal RNA
Source: RNAcentral